RNAcentral lists this ribosomal RNA (566 nucleotides) under Cronobacter sakazakii. RNAcentral's name for it is "partial 16S ribosomal RNA". The stretch from base 11 to 496 matches the Rfam family "Bacterial small subunit ribosomal RNA", at positions 30 to 543 of the family's 1533-position model. The record is from RNAcentral. Lineage: Bacteria; Pseudomonadati; Pseudomonadota; Gammaproteobacteria; Enterobacterales; Enterobacteriaceae.
CAGAUGAAGGGUGACGCUGGCGGCAGGCCCAUCACAUGGCUAGUCCUGAUACGGUAACAGGGAGCAGCUUGCUGCUCUGCUGACGAGUGGCGGACGGGUGAGUAAUGUCUGGGAAACUGCCUGAUGGAGGGGGAUAACUACUGGAAACGGUAGCUAAUACCGCAUAACGUCUACGGACCAAAGUGGGGGACCUUCGGGCCUCAUGCCAUCAGAUGUGCCCAGAUGGGAUUAGCUAGUAGGUGGGGUAACGGCUCACCUAGGCGACGAUCCCUAGCUGGUCUGAGAGGAUGACCAGCCACACUGGAACUGAGACACGGUCCAGACUCCUACGGGAGGCAGCAGUGGGGAAUAUUGCACAGUGGGCGCUUCGGUUUAAAAAAUACUUUCCGCAAAAAAAAAUGUUUUUUGGUUUAAAACCCCCCGUGUUUAAUUUUCCCAAAGAAAAUCCCCCCUAUUUUGCUGGAUUCCUCGGAGGUAAAAAACAAGGGAAGGGUCCUUCCCCUUUUGAUUAAAUGGAAACCCAAGGGCCCCCCCGGUUGGGGGGGGCCCCCGAAAUUUAUUUCCCG